CAAAUCACAUUGAAACACCAGUUCCCAUACAAUCACCGAAGUUAAGCAAUAUCAAGCCUGGUCAGUAUCUAGAUGGGUGACUACUUGGGAAUACCAGGUGCUGUAAG
Acanthosepion pharaonis is the source of this 107-nucleotide non-coding RNA. The record is from the annotation of a GenBank genome assembly. Lineage: Eukaryota; Metazoa; Mollusca; Cephalopoda; Sepiida; Sepiidae.